AGCGGAGAAAGGACUUAAGCUCCAUUCCCGGGCUGCCCUUCCAAGAAGGGAUAGAGGGAGGGACAGCGAGUCCUCCUAAGCAAAGGGAGAAAGGGGUGGAGAGUGAGGGGAGGUAGAAAGAAAUAAGAGAGGGAGAAGAUGGUGAGAGCGGCCGAGGAGAGAGGGCUAAGAAAGACAGUCAGCACCAGGAUCCAAAGAGAAAAAGAGAAGCGCAGUGAGCAAGAGAGCCGGGGACCCAGUGAGAGACCGAGCGAGGAGAGCAGACAGAGAAACGCGACAGAGACCGGGAGAUGAAGAGAGACAGAGGGAGGCCGGCAGAGACGGACAGAUCCAACAGCCAGAGCUAGUGACAGUGACCGGGGCGUGGGGGGCGAAGAGCGCGCGGAGCGGGCGCGGGACGGCGGCGGGCGGGGGUGGGGGAGGCCCGGGAGGGUGCGCGGCGGGGCCUCCUCCUCCGGGCGCCGCCGCCCCCGCCCUCGGCCGCACGCGCCCGCAGCCUAAUGACCGCAACCCCGCCGGAGACGCGCGGCCCGCGCCGACUCCAGGCGGCCGGCAGCUGGCGGCGCGGGGCCGGUCGGGGAGCCGCGAGCGCCGCAGAGACGGUGGCAGUCCCUCGGCUCGGCGGGUCCUGAUUGACUUGUCAGCCGAGGCGACAAAACAGCCCCUCGGAACCGCGCGCCGGGUCCUUGGCUGCCCGGGCGCCGGGGCCUCCCUCCCCGCGCUUCGGCCGGCUCCCGGGCCGGUUCCGCAGGCUGGAGCGCCCCGCGGCCCCGAGGAGGGAGCCCCCCGCCCCCCGGCCCGGGCCCCGGCGCCCCUCCCCGGCCCUCCCCCGCCCCCAUUUCGCAUCUCCUCCGGCUGGGCCGGGCUCGUCCCCAGGCCCCGGGGCUGCCAACUGCCCCCUCGCCCCCCCCGGGCACAGUGCCAGCCCCCCCAGUCCUCACCCUGCCGCUCCCCCCCCAGCCCGGCGCUCCCGCCUCCCGCCCCCCGGCCCCGGCCCGGGGCCGCCCGCAGAGCCGGCCACACCCGCUGCGGAGGACUCGGAAAGGUAAGGAGGCUCCGAGGCUCGCCCCAGGGGCCUUGGGGGCGGCGCGGGGCGGGGGCGCGCGCAGGGGCCCACCGGGCACCCGCGGACUCGGACCGGGGACCGCCGCUGCCACCGAGCCGGGGACGCGAGAGAGCCCCGCCGGGGCCGGGAGGGCUUUGGGCGAGUUAGAAUUGCAUAGGGAGGACCUGGUGGGAAGUGGGUGAGGUAGUUACCCUACUGUCGGUCCUGGGACCCGGGGGUCUUGCUCUCAGGGACAGAGAUAUCUGUCCUUGUCGUUCAGCUUUAAAGAAUUCCCUUCCUCUCUCGCCUUCAUCUCUAAGUCUCUAGAAAUUUAUGGGACCAUUUUCCUGUGUCUCUUUUGAAGACUCAACUCUCUGCCUCUCUUUGGCAAAAAGAGGCUCUUCUCAUUUCUUGCCCCAAUUAAGCGUAUUCUCUCCCUGCUCCAAUUUAAAAGGAUUUUCUUCCUCUUUCUCCCUCCCCAGUUUAG
RNAcentral lists this long non-coding RNA (1532 nucleotides) under Zalophus californianus (California sea lion). RNAcentral describes it as "lncRNA (ENSZCAG00015005562.1)". The record is from RNAcentral. Lineage: Eukaryota; Metazoa; Chordata; Mammalia; Carnivora; Otariidae.